This 73-nucleotide transfer RNA is filed under the name Candidatus Taylorbacteria bacterium RIFCSPHIGHO2_02_FULL_44_12. RNAcentral describes it as "tRNA-Val". It matches the Rfam family "tRNA". Rfam says of the family: Transfer RNA (tRNA) molecules are approximately 80 nucleotides in length. Their secondary structure includes four short double-helical elements and three loops (D, anti-codon, and T loops). The record is from RNAcentral. Lineage: Bacteria; Candidatus Tayloriibacteriota. RNAcentral also lists the same sequence under 1 other name.
GCACGCUUAGCUCAGUUGGUAGAGCAUUCCCUUGACGUGGGAAGGGUCGGGGGUUCGAAUCCCUCAGCGUGCA